Molecule: unclassified non-coding RNA, 829 nt
Filed under: Agrilus planipennis (emerald ash borer)
Lineage: Eukaryota; Metazoa; Arthropoda; Insecta; Coleoptera; Buprestidae
Description: josephin-1, transcript variant X1
Source: RNAcentral
GUUACUGAUAUGGUUGUUGAUGAUUUGUAUGAUACUUGCAUGGUACGAAUUUGAUGAUUUAACUAACUUCAACGAUUUAUUAUUCUUGGCGCUCACGGGCCUACCAAUGCAAAAAUUCUCUUCGAGGUGACGAUUUCUUUUUAGUAAUGGAAUUUUAAAAUGCAUUCAAAUGAAAAUUGUCCCGAAGUAUAUCACGAAAAACAGGUUAAGGAAUUAUGUGCUUUACAUGCUUUAAACAAUUUAUUUCAAAUGAAAGAUUAUUUUUCCAAAGUGGAUUUUGAUAAUAUUUGUUACUCUUUAUCACCUAAUGUUUGGAUAAAUCCUCAUAGGUCAAUAUUUGGUUUAGGAAAUUAUGACGUGAAUGUUAUAAUGAAAGCUUUACAAACUAAAGGGUAUGAAGCAAUUUGGUUUGAUAGACGAAAGGAUCCUUCUUGUUUAAUUCAUAGUAAUAUUUUUGGAUAUAUAUUGAAUAUUCCAACUGAUUUAAAAUUUGGAUUGAUUACUCUUCCUGUAUAUCGUAGACAUUGGAUAGCAAUAAGGAAAGUUCAUAAUGUCUUUUAUAACUUAGACUCUAAAUUGCAAACACCAAAAGUAAUUGGAUUGACAUUAUACCGAUAAAGACAUUAAUCGCAUUAUUGUACAAGUCAUUGAAGGUUUUAAAAAUUAGUUGGCAAACCCAGAUUAACUUGUAUUUUCCUUGAUAUAAUUAAAAAUUGGUAACUGCAUUAAAGGCAUUAACUAUCGAAGGGAUUAUUUUGUGAACAACUCAAUUUUGUUUGUAUUUUUUCGAGUCUGACCUUAACAAAUUCUUAAAAAAGGAACUUGAAAA